RNAcentral lists this non-coding RNA (24 nucleotides) under Arabidopsis thaliana (thale cress). Lineage: Eukaryota; Viridiplantae; Streptophyta; Magnoliopsida; Brassicales; Brassicaceae. The record is from RNAcentral.
AGAGAGUUGAAGUAAGGAAGCAAC